CAAGGAUUUCAAUCUUCCAAACAAGAAAAUUAGAAAGCAAGUUUCGUUCCCACAGUGACAGAGGAAGGGCAGAGGCUAUUAGGACAACUCAUCUCCUACAAUAUUAAAAACACCCUGGCAGGCUUUGCCAGGUCACAAGAAGGACCCGCCGGAGCUGGGAGUGGGAAGAGCAGCUGUGGUGGUGGCUCGCAGACAGCCUUAAAAAGGAUAUUCUGUCAUGUGUGGCAAGAUGGAUAAACCUGGAGGACAUUACGCUCCAGUGAAACGGGUACUGCAUUUUGAUAAAUUGAAGGUUUGUGGAACGCUGCAUUGAGCAAGUCUAUUGGUACCAUUUUCCAACAGCAUGUGCUCACUUCAUGUCUCUGUGCCACAUUUGGAAUGAAGAGAAUCUGAACUAAGAUGGGGUGAAAGUAGGAAAUCAUUCCCCCAUGUCAAGUGCAAGGGCUAUCCAGUUAGAGGCCAACACAGAUGUCUGAUCAAAGGUAAAAGUCUUUGUGUGCUUGCAACAAGGGAAGUUGUCUAAUAGGGUCUGAAGACAGAAAGUCCUGUGGUUGUGUCCUGCCCUUCUCCUGCCACACUGGGCCUGCCUUCAGCAGCAAUGUCCCUUGGUGGUUGUCCGCCCUCUGCCACCUGCCUUCAUUUACUCUUGCAGUGGGGUUUAUUUACUCUCACUAUCAUUUGGAUAUACAAAGAAAUUUUAAUUCCCUUAUUUUUCAGACAUCAACCUGACCUUCCUUAUCAGCACUUGGUAAUGAUGGUGCUGACAGGUAACACAGUACAAUCCAGUUAAACCCUUCAUCUGAUUCAAUCGUUUAACUUUUUUUUGAGGUUUAAUUUAGGAUUUUAUUAUAUUUUACCAGUCUUUUAGAUUCCACUCUGCUGCUUUCCAGUAUGGUGCAGAGGGAAUAUAGUUCCUGAGGAGAGGUGCCCAUGACUGCCAGGUUUUGGAGGAAGGGGUGGCCUAGCCUCAUAUUGGUUCUUGGGGCAUUCUGGCUGGCAUCUGCUGAGGGAUGUUUGGUGUGCCCCUAUCCCUGGUCAUUCUAUGGUAUCCACCCAUGACAACUGUGGCCGCUAAUCUCAUGGUCUAUUGUUUCUCAGACUUGGUCAGGGCCUGGCCAGCUUGCCCCAAACAUUUGCAAGGCUGGGGGCAAGGCUGCUAUGAUAUAUGAAUACCUAAAAGUUAGCAAUCAAGCUGACACACUUUUAAAUAUGUUCCAUUCCUUUACCUUGACAAAUAUAUCUUUAUAAUGAC
This 1252-nucleotide long non-coding RNA is filed under the name Homo sapiens (human). Its description in RNAcentral is "HSALNT0100981". The record is from RNAcentral. Lineage: Eukaryota; Metazoa; Chordata; Mammalia; Primates; Hominidae.